Molecule: ribosomal RNA, 423 nt
Filed under: uncultured fungus
Lineage: Eukaryota; Fungi
Description: eukaryotic LSU rRNA
Rfam family: Eukaryotic large subunit ribosomal RNA
Source: RNAcentral
UUGACCUCAAAUCGAGUAGGACCACCCGCUGAACUUAAGCAUAUCAAUAAGCGGAGGAAAAGAAACUAACAAGGAUUCCCCUAGUAACGGCGAGUGAAGAGGGAAGAGCUCAAAUUUUGAAUCUGGCGUCUCUGGCGUCCGAAUUGUAAUCUAGAGAAGUGUUUUCCGUGACGGACCGUGCAUAAGUCUCCUGGAAUGGAGCGUCAUAGAGGGUGAGAAUCCCGUAUAUGGCAUGGACUCCCGUUGCUCUGUGAUACACUCUCGACGAGUCGAGUUGUUUGGGAAUGCAGCUCUAAAUGGGUGGUAAAUGCCAUCUAAAGCUAAAUAUUGGCGAGAGACCGAUAGCGAACAAGUACCGUGAGGGAAAGAUGAAAAGCACUUUGGAAAGAGAGUGAAACAGUACGUGAAAUUGUUGAAAGGGAA